AACCGCCGUAUACGGAACCGUACGUACGGUGGUGUGAGAGGUCGACAAGUCAAUUAAUGGCUUGUCUCCUACUCGAU
Marinilactibacillus sp. 15R is the source of this 77-nucleotide non-coding RNA. NCBI's taxonomy places the organism in Bacteria, Bacillati, Bacillota, Bacilli, Lactobacillales, Carnobacteriaceae. The record is from Rfam.